ACUAUGGAGAGUAUAAGAAUUUAUGAGUAAAUACAAUUUAUUGAAAGUAUGCUCGUUGAAGUAGUAA
RNAcentral lists this non-coding RNA (67 nucleotides) under unclassified sequences. RNAcentral describes it as "RAGATH-18 RNA". It matches the Rfam family "RAGATH-18 RNA". From Rfam's summary of the family: Actinobacteria, Firmicutes, Fusobacteria, Thermotogae (1 example). Nearby to self-cleaving ribozyme genes The record is from Rfam by way of RNAcentral.